Molecule: long non-coding RNA, 449 nt
Organism: Chinchilla lanigera (long-tailed chinchilla)
Lineage: Eukaryota; Metazoa; Chordata; Mammalia; Rodentia; Chinchillidae
Exons: 2
Source: RefSeq, a predicted model, not a curated record
GAAGGACGGGGGUCGGGGGGGGGGGCCCAGAAGACGUCCAGGCACACAGAGACAGGCUGUGCCAGCAGGGUAGAGAGGAUGUGUGGACUCCCCUGUGGGUGUGCCUAUGGCCCUAAUGUGUGCUGGGAGCUGGGGUGUGCGUAGAGUGGCCCCUUGGGAACAGUGACAGGUGCUCUAGAACGCAGGGCUUACACAUCCUCCAGAGGAUGACAUCUCAGCCUCUCAUAGGUAGGAGUUGGCACAGGUCCUAGCAGUGGAACACCAGCCACUGACCGCCUGCCAAGUGCAGGGACUUCAUCUGCUCUGUUCCUGCUGCUCCCCUACCCCAUACACACUGUGUCUGUCGCACCCCUUUCCUGCAGAAGAUGACUUUAUGUUUUAGUGUGAGGAUGUCUCAUUCAACAUUUGGGCCAUACUUAGAUUUAAAAAACAUUAGCAGUUUACCUAAA